This 30-nucleotide small RNA is filed under the name Bombyx mori (domestic silkworm). RNAcentral's name for it is "ovarian small RNA-25451". Lineage: Eukaryota; Metazoa; Arthropoda; Insecta; Lepidoptera; Bombycidae. The record is from RNAcentral.
UCACUGGGUCUCCCUAUACCCCCGUCAAAC